RNAcentral lists this ribosomal RNA (253 nucleotides) under uncultured bacterium. RNAcentral's name for it is "partial 16S ribosomal RNA". It matches the Rfam family "Bacterial small subunit ribosomal RNA", at positions 524 to 776 of the family's 1533-position model. The record is from RNAcentral.
UACGAAGGGGGCUAGCGUUGCUCGGAAUUACUGGGCGUAAAGCGCGCGUAGGCGGGUCGUUAAGUCGGGGGUGAAAUCCUGGAGCUCAACUCCAGAACUGCCUUCGAUACUGGCGAUCUUGAGUCCGGGAGAGGUGAGUGGAACUCCGAGUGUAGAGGUGGAAUUCGUAGAUAUUAGGAAGAACACCAGUGGCGAAGGCGGCUCACUGGUCCGGUACUGACGCUGAGGUGCGAAAGCGUGGGGAGCAAACAGG